AUGGGGUUCCCCCUGGUGUGCUACUGCGUCGCCAUCCCCAAGCCGAUCAUCGCCUUCUGCAAGCUCGUCGCCGCCGUCCGGGACGCCCUCCUCCUGCUGCUCUCCCUCGUCGGCCUCUGCCGCUCCCCGCGCCGCUCCGUCCACGACGCCCCGCUGCCCGAGGAGGUCAAGGAGCGCCUCCCGGCCGUCGAGUUCUCCUUGCUGGCGCGUCCGGCGCAGCAGCAGCAGGGGUGCCACGACGGGGACGCCGCGGCGGCGGCGACGUGCAUCGUGUGCCUGGAGCGGCUGCGGGCGGCGGACGAGGUGCGGCGGCUGGGCAACUGCGCGCACGCCUUCCACCGCGGCUGCAUCGACGGGUGGAUCGACCUCGGCCGGACCACCUGCCCGCUGUGCCGCUCCCACCUACUGCCCCGCCCGCGGAGGGACGGCCCGCUCGCCAGCCUCCUCACGCGCGUUUGGUGA
Molecule: ribosomal RNA, 462 nt
Filed under: Triticum aestivum (bread wheat)
Lineage: Eukaryota; Viridiplantae; Streptophyta; Magnoliopsida; Poales; Poaceae
Description: partial small subunit ribosomal RNA
Source: RNAcentral